RNAcentral lists this transfer RNA (84 nucleotides) under Gemmata sp. RNAcentral's name for it is "tRNA-Leu". It matches the Rfam family "tRNA". Rfam says of the family: Transfer RNA (tRNA) molecules are approximately 80 nucleotides in length. Their secondary structure includes four short double-helical elements and three loops (D, anti-codon, and T loops). Further hydrogen bonds mediate the characteristic L-shaped molecular structure. tRNAs have two regions of fundamental functional importance: the anti-codon, which is responsible for specific mRNA codon recognition, and the 3' end, to which the tRNAs corresponding amino acid is attached (by aminoacyl-tRNA synthetases). tRNAs cope with the degeneracy of the genetic code in two manners: having more than one tRNA (with a specific anti-codon) for a particular amino acid; and 'wobble' base-pairing, i.e. permitting non-standard base-pairing at the 3rd anti-codon position. The record is from RNAcentral. Lineage: Bacteria; Pseudomonadati; Planctomycetota; Planctomycetia; Gemmatales; Gemmataceae. RNAcentral also lists the same sequence under 4 other names.
GCCGCGGUGGCGGAAUUGGCAGACGCGCCAGAUUCAGGUUCUGGUGACCGAAAGGUCGUGGAGGUUCAACUCCUCUCCGCGGCA